This 253-nucleotide ribosomal RNA is filed under the name uncultured bacterium. RNAcentral describes it as "partial 16S ribosomal RNA". It matches the Rfam family "Bacterial small subunit ribosomal RNA", at positions 524 to 776 of the family's 1533-position model. The record is from RNAcentral.
UACGUAGGGUGCAAGCGUUGUUCGGAAUUACUGGGCGUAAAGCGUGCGCAGGCGGCUUCUCAAGUCAGGGGUGAAAGCCCAGAGCUCAACUCUGGAAUUGCCUUUGAGACUGAGUGGCUUGAGUACGAGAGAGGUGAGUGGAAUUCCCAGUGUAGAGGUGAAAUUCGUAGAUAUUGGGGAGAACACCGGUGGCGAAGGCGGCUCACUGGCUCAUUACUGACGCUCAGGCGCGACAGCGUGGGGAUCAAACAGG